GAUGAACGCUAGCGGCGUGCCUAAUACAUGCAAGUCGAGCGAGCUGAAUUCAAAGAUCCCUUCGGGGUGAUUUGUUGGACGCUAGCGGCGGAUGGGUGAGUAACACGUGGGCAAUCUGCCCUAAAGACUGGGAUACCACUUGGAAACAGGUGCUAAUACCGGAUAACAACAUGAAUCGCAUGAUUCAAGUUUGAAAGGCGGCGUAAGCUGUCACUUUAGGAUGAGCCCGCGGCGCAUUAGCUAGUUGGUGGGGUAAAGGCCUACCAAGGCAAUGAUGCGUAGCCGAGUUGAGAGACUGAUCGGGCCACAUUGGGACUGAGACACGGCCCAAACUCCUACGGGAGCAGCAGUAGGGAAUUUUCGUCAAUGGGGGAACCCUGAACGAGCAAUGCCGCGUGAGUGAGGAAGGUCUUC
RNAcentral lists this ribosomal RNA (414 nucleotides) under uncultured bacterium. Its description in RNAcentral is "bacterial SSU rRNA". It matches the Rfam family "Bacterial small subunit ribosomal RNA", at positions 28 to 419 of the family's 1533-position model. The record is from RNAcentral.